UAAUCAGCUCUUUUCAGAGCUACGAAAUAUUUCAACGUAAAAAUAA
Molecule: non-coding RNA, 46 nt
Organism: Trichomalopsis sarcophagae
Lineage: Eukaryota; Metazoa; Arthropoda; Insecta; Hymenoptera; Pteromalidae
Source: Rfam